Molecule: long non-coding RNA, 603 nt
Organism: Suricata suricatta (meerkat)
Lineage: Eukaryota; Metazoa; Chordata; Mammalia; Carnivora; Herpestidae
Exons: 3
Source: RefSeq, a predicted model, not a curated record
UUACUUCACAUGAAACAGUUGCAAAGCCAGCUGGCAGUGUUUUCCCACCUUGUUGCUCUGUCUCAGCAAUGGAUUUUACAGGAGAUGAACAUGUCCAAGGAAGGAAGCCAGAGCUGCUUUUAUUAUGUCAUCAAUUAUACAUGGACGAACGUCUGUGUGCGGGGGCCCAUCCAGCUCUCUGGAAGAGGAGAAACAGGGUUCUCAGGCCGCGGCAUGGGGGCUGGGGCACGUGCCCAUUGCUUGGCUGGACCUGUGAAUGUUACAGAUUUCCUGUCCCGUCUUCAAAACUGCCAGCCAAGCCAGCUGCCUGGAGCUGAAUUUGCCCUGAGAAAAAGGGAUCCAGCCUCUCCCCUGCCGUCAGCACACUGGUCAACGCUGGUGCUUCAUCAGGAGCUUCUGCUGCCAAUGACCUUGAGCAGAUGAGAACACAGGAGAUGCUGGUAACACCUGCAGAGGGGUGGUGGGCGUGGCCAAAGCAACGUGCCUUGAUUGGUGAAAUAUGCUCCCCAGAGAAAUUCCUUGAAUAGGGGCUCGUUUGAGCCUGGGUAUAAAAUAACCAUUGGGAUAGAUCUAGAGAAUAAAAUACUUCUUUCUUGUCCUCUU